This is an RNA transcript of Juglans microcarpa x Juglans regia, 1957 nucleotides long. RefSeq lists it as uncharacterized. The transcript is spliced from 3 exons. The record is from RefSeq and is a predicted model, not a curated record. NCBI's taxonomy places the organism in Eukaryota, Viridiplantae, Streptophyta, Magnoliopsida, Fagales, Juglandaceae.
UUUUCCAAACAUAAAUAAUUUGGUAGGUUUGCAAAUUGUAGAAACACAGAAUACUUUCAUUUCCCAGCAACCAGCAACACCUCUAGGCUAUUGUUCCCACCAUUGAAAUGGCGGAGGAAACGGAGCUCAAUCUUUCAAAAAUCACACUCCGGCCAUAUAACGCUUCCGACAUUGAUGACUUCUUGAUGUAUGCUGGAGAUGAGAAAGUGACACGGUUCACCCGGUGGAACACCUUCUCCUCCAAGGAAGAAGCUCUUUUCUAUAUCAAGGACUAUUGCAUUCCACACCCUUAUUGCAGAUCCAUAUGCAUAGACGACCGUUCAAUUGGGUUUAUCAUCAUCACGCCACAGUCCGGGGAUGACCGGUUCAGGGCAGAUGUCGGAUACGCCUUGGCUGCUCAGUACUGGGGGCAAGGCAUAACAACUAGAGCAGUGAAGAUGGCCAUCACUGAAGGGUUGAGAGACUUCCCAGAUGUGAUUAGGUUUCAAGCUUUGGUUGAAUUAGAGAACAAGGCUUCUCAGAGGGUCUUGGACAAACUCGGGUUCCUCAGGGAAGGUGUCAUGAGACAGUAUAGUUUCAACAAAGAUUUUAUGGUGAAGUUGGGGCAUAUUCGAAUGCAAAUGCUAACAUAAGAGUAUAGUCCCACAUAGGGAAAGCAACAAGAUGGCCAAGACGAGUGGUGUCAUAUAAAAAAGAUCAAGUGGGGAAGAGAAAGUUCAUACCUUUCUCGGCCUUUUGGCUAAGAUCAAGUGUAGUAUCUGUUCUUAUCAGUUUAAUAUCUGAUAUGUGAGCCAUCGGCUCACGUGAUAUUAAAUUUAUAUUUUGAGGGGAGAGUCCACAGCAGUAGCUUGCUACUGGGGCUCUCGAGCGUCGCCCAUGCGUUGCACUACAGCACGGGCCUGGCGCACCCCACCAAAAUCAAGCUCAAAUAUUCUUUCUACUCGACUGAUUCGAGCAUUCGGCCCUGAUCCUUGUGCUUCCGAAAGGUCAGUUUCUUUUGACUAGAGGAAGUUAGGUUGGUAGCUCUAAGUCGUGUGUUUGAAUGGGAGUUUGUUUGGAAACGUGGAAGACAAACAAAAUGGUCAAACUUUGACGGGUAAAUAAGACAAUGAGGUUUGGAAGGUUAGGUUCGGAUUUGGGUACGAGUUUUUUUUACCCUUUUAUGCUUGGAAGUGACCACCCUGAGAACGAUGGGACAUGCCCUACCCUGAAACAAGGCUUUUAGAAUCCAGAGUUUGAUGGAAAUCAAACUGCGUCCCUAUGAAUUAUCUGAUGUGGAUGACUUCAUGGAAUGGGCAUGCGAUGAUGAAGUAAUUCGAACGAGCAGGCUAAGGCACUACACUUCAAGAGAAGAUGCACUUGUUUAUCUUCAGGAAGUUGCCAUACCCCAUCCAUGGUACAGGGCCAUAUGUUUGGAGGAAAGAUUGGAUUUAUAUGCAUCAAACCAGGGUCUGCCAGUGAGAGAUGUAGAGGUCUCGUUAGCUAUGCUCUAGGAUCAAAGUACUGGGGCAAAGGUAUAACCACAAUGGCAGUGAAAAUGGUUGUGUCUACCGUGUUUCAAGAGUUUCCGGAUAUCGAGAGAUUGGAAGGCUUUGUUGAUGUGGAUAAUAAGGCCUCGCAAAGGGUUCUGGAAAAGGCUGGGUUUCAAAAGGAAGGUGUCCUUAGGAAAUAUGUAAUCGUCAAAGGAAGGACUAUUGAUGUUACUAUGUAUAGCUAUCUAAAACCCGACCACAUUAUUACUUGAAGGUUUUGUUUUUUGUUUUUCCUCUCUUCAUCAUUUUGAUGAAAUUUGUUCUUGAAUUUGGCUUUGUUAUUCGAUCUUUGUUACAAAGGUUGGUCUAUUAGAUUCUAUAAUGGGUUUUAGACAGAAAAGCUCAACGGGCUUGACUACUUAAGAUUCUCUUAAAUUCAUGUUUGAACUUGAGAAAUCCAAGUAGGAAAUAGAUUCUGCGUUAUU